UUUUUUGUGGAGAGUUUGAUCCUGGCUCAGGACGAACGCUGGCGGCAUGCCUAACACAUGCAAGUCGAACGGAGAGCUGAAGUUUCGAUGGAGGCUCUUAGUGGCGGACGGGUGAGUAACGCGUGGAUAACCUGCCUGAGAGUGGGGGAUAACAGCCCGAAAGGGCUGCUAAUACCGCAUAAUGUUCCUGGAGGACAUCCUUCGGGAACCAAAGGAGCAAUCCGCUCUUGGAUGGGUCCGCGUCCGAUUAGCUAGUUGGUGAGGUAACGGCCUACCAAGGCGACGAUCGGUAGCCGGCCUGAGAGGGUGAACGGCCACACUGGGACUGAGACACGGCCCAGACUCCUACGGGAGGCAGCAGUGGGGAAUCUUCCGCAAUGGGCGAAAGCCUGACGGAGCAAUGCCGCGUGGGGGAUGAAGGUCUUCGGAUUGUAAACCCUUGUCUUCGGGGAAGAAGUUUUGACGGUACCCGAGGAGGAAGCCCCGGCUAACUACGUGCCAGCAGCCGCGGUAAUACGUAGGGGGCAAGCGUUGUCCGGAAUGACUGGGCGUAAAGCGCGUGCAGGCGGA
RNAcentral lists this ribosomal RNA (570 nucleotides) under Heliobacterium mobile. Its description in RNAcentral is "bacterial SSU rRNA". It matches the Rfam family "Bacterial small subunit ribosomal RNA", at positions 1 to 579 of the family's 1533-position model. Lineage: Bacteria; Bacillati; Bacillota; Clostridia; Eubacteriales; Heliobacteriaceae. The record is from RNAcentral.